This is a long non-coding RNA of Perca fluviatilis (European perch), 636 nucleotides long. RefSeq lists it as uncharacterized. The transcript is spliced from 2 exons. The record is from RefSeq and is a predicted model, not a curated record. NCBI's taxonomy places the organism in Eukaryota, Metazoa, Chordata, Actinopteri, Perciformes, Percidae.
CUGGCUGGUUGCCAGUCUUCCUGUCAUUUAAGCUGUGUCUGCUUGGUUUAAAAUGUAGAGUUUUGUGAGGUGGAGGUUGAGGACCUUAGUUAUCAGGAUUUACACCUGGGAGCCAGAGAAUGGACUGGCUGUUGGAUAUAAAAAAAGGACAGAAUAGCAGCAGAGGAGACAUCAAGGAAGACGUGGAGAUACGACAGAACACUCGGAACAAGCGGCGAAGCAGAUGGGAGAUCAGACAAAGACACAAAGGGAAACAACCUUAGAGCGGCCUGAAGCUACAGUGAAGCAACCCAAACACCGACCGCCAGCGGAAAAAGUGGGGGAGUGUGGAACUCUCCCUUCCGCGUAAGUCCCGUUUUGAGACCGGUGUUAGGUGGGGAUAAACGUGAUUAAGUGAUAACAGUUGCUGAGGACGUGUUACUGGCCGAGUUUUUUCUGUUGCAGGUUAUAUCCGAGGAAGGCGGCACAAGGAGAGGAAACUGGUUGCCAGCAGAACCCUGUGGACUUUGUAAAGUCAAGACUCCUGUUCUGUUUAGACUGUUUUAGUUGAUUUUUAGUUUUUUUCUUUUUUUUAAAUCCCUUUUUUUUAGUACAUUUUAUUGUUUUAUCCUUGUUAAAAUAAAUGUGGUUUCUUAA